CAAGAAUAAAGACAUGUAAGUGACACAAUUUGAUCCGGCAUGAGUAAAUAAGACCCCGUCGAUGAAUGUGAUGUGAGCUCUAAGUAAGCAAAAUUAUUUACUGCUGCGACCAUCGCAAAAGUUGCUUGUUCAUCAAGGAAAAGGUGUUACAUAACAAACAUAAUUCUUCAUUAUUUAUGAGCCUUUUAAAAUUCCUUGUUCCAGUCUUCAAGUAUUUAUAAGGGAUCUGAUUUAGGAAGUCUAAAAGAUGAUAGUUAUAAGCAUGCUUUCAUAACUGUAAUAUGUGUCCAACGAAUUUGUUACAAUUUUUUCAUAAUACAUGUCAAGAAAGAGUGGUACAUGUCAAGACAAGACUUGCGUUUUGACUAAGAAUAUAUUACCUUGUAGUACCCCUUCAUCAAUUGUGGGCCCCUGACUUUCAAAAUUCCCUUUGAACCAGGUGGAAGAACUUCACCAGUUUCAGAAUCGACAACUUUGAAUUCUGUAUGCUUAAGUGGAUACCCCACAGAUCCAAUUACCUUUAAAAGAAAGAAUUCGAAUAAUUUUCAGAUUAAAACACUGCUAUUUGCAGACUCAAAUUUAAAGAAUGCAAAUUAUGUAAUAAUUAUGAGUACAAACCUCUAGACAGAAUCGGGAAGAAAGGUGUACAGUGUGUUUGUUAUUAACAUAUGAUGCAGAGUAGAUGGAUGCAUUUUGAAAAGAAAAAUUUAUCAAGUAGGCAUGCCAACACCUAAUUUAGUAGAACUAUCAUUUAGCCCUUCUGAUUUCUUAAUAAAACCUAGUAAUUGUUAUUGUUAUUCUCUACAUUUUUAUCACAUAGUAGAUUUUAGGUUUAACUCAACAUCACAUAACCGGUUUAUAACAUGAUAUCUCUAUCUGUUAAUGUGAGAAGUAUCCAAUUCUUGAGGAACCCUCCCUUAAAAGCAAGCUAUCGAAGAGGAAGAACCAGGCUACUUAAAUAUUCUACCAAGUAUCCCAUACUACACCAUUUGGGACUCUGAGCACCCCAUAAUACCCAAGUCUCUAUCACAUGAAGGUCAAAACAAUAUUUUUAAUCUAAUGAUACUUGGCCUUAUAUUAUGCAGUUUAUAGUGUAUUGCUUACGUCACAACCAAGUCGUCGAGCAGCAAUAACCGGUGAAGUUUCUGUUAAACCAUAUCCAUUCUGCAAAUUCAAACCAAUAGCCUGUAUAGUAUUUUAAAAAAAUACAUUAGAAGAUAGCCAAAAAGAAAAUUCCUGCUUGAGAAUAACAAAAAUGAGAAGAAUCAAACCUCAAAAAACUUAUCAACAUGAGAAGGUAAGCUACCACCACCACUUAUUGCAGCCUGCAGAGUGCAAAAGGUUUUGCUUAUCCUCAGCAGAAAAGUGAUGGAUUUCCAAAUAACAAAUAAUGGCACUAUGGUAUAUAGUAUGAAAACUAUUUUUUCAUCACAAAUAAUAUGAAGAGUGUAGUAUUUUCUUCCCAAAACGUUUUUCCUCUCAAUGGAGUCGAUCAAUCAGUACGAGACUUCACAUAUGAGACAGUAAAAUAAGAUCAUAAAACUUUACCAUAAAGCAUAGUACAGAAUAUAAUACCGUUGAUAUUCCAAUAGUUGAACGGAUUUUACUGUAGACCAGUUUAUUUGCCAGCAUAUGAACUGGAUAUAAUAUUGUAGCCAUAAUUCUUGCCCAUAGCCAAUCCAACAUUGCAUAGAGAUAGGAAGGUGCUUUCUGAUUCUUGGUUAAACAUUUACCCUAUAAACAUAUUGUACAAAAUUUAUUAUCAUUGGUCAACAAUAGAAUUACUAUGAUAGAACAUGUUUGUUUCAAACUAUUUUAUGAAAAAGUAUCUUUUUAGGAUAUAUUUUUUUUUAAUUUCUUUUGUUCAGCAUUUGGAAAUAAUCAUAAUCUGAGAAAGAUAUGAAAUAUAGAGAUGAUGACCAGACCUCAUAAAUUCGCUUGCACUCCAUGUAUCCUAAGCUGACCCUUAUGAAUGUGAGAGCGACAAGCUUUCUAACAAGUGAGCUUGUAGAUAUCUGCUUCAUGAUCCCACUACAGAGGAACCAAAAACAAAAACAAAUGUUAUUAUUCACUGGUGGCAUUAAAUAGAACAAACUAUAUUCUUCUUACAAUUCCUGAGAAAAGGAGUUACCUGUAUAAAGUUUCAAAAACUAAAGGAACAGAAACCAUUAAAUGUGGUUUAUAACGUCCCAAAUCAUCCUAGAUCAAAAUAAAGUACAUGAUAUUAAUCAAAUGAAGCCAUGAGUGUUCUUUUAUGGCAUACAGUACCGUGCGUUAAGGUUUAAAUAAAUGAUUAGAUUAAUAAUACCUUCAAGUUUCUUACAGUAGUGUAUAUAUGUUCAAGACCACGUGAGAAAACUAAAUACUCGCAAGCUCUUUCAUAUGCAUGCCAAGGAGGCAACAUACUUAGAAAUUUAUCUCCAGCUUCAGUAGUAGGUACAACGUCCGAUAAGUGUUUGAUCUAGAAAUUCAUUCACACGUAAUAGCCAUAUGUGAAAAGCCAAGAAUUAUAGCCUUGUAAGAGUUCUAUUAAAAAUCAAAUAGCUUGUCUGAAAAUACUAAAAUAACAUUGCCACAGUAAAGUUUAUGACAGAUUUGCAAUCAAACCUGAUGCAAAAGAUUCUGAUGGGUUAGCAUAACACCUUUAGGAUUUCCAGUAGUACCACUUGUGUACACAAGAGUAGCAAUGUCAUCCAAUUUUAUUGUUUCAAAGAUAUAGUGUUCUCCUGCAAUCACAUUGUAGAUGAGUUUGUUGUGAACCUGAUUACUGUUCCUUUUGAUGAUUAAGAGAAAGACUAAUAGGUAUGAAUGUAUAUUACAGAGAAGGUGCAGGUGGCAUACUAGCAUCAUCGGAGGUGUGCAAUGCCCUGCGACUUUGACGCCCAAAAUUUAUGACUUCCAUGAAUGUAUAGAUUGGCACCCCUUUGUCUGCUUCAUUGACAAGGCUUGAUUUUUCUCCCCAAAGCAGAAUAAUAAAUCUGAUUGAGGUCUUCAAAUAAAAUGGUUUUGCAAUCUGAUUAUACAUUUCAGGAUUGUCCACAGCUAGUGCAACACUUUCAGAGUGGUUGUAUAUUUGCAGUAGUUCUUCAAUUGAUGACCUUGAACCCCUAACCACAUUGAUUGCUCCAAUUGCCAUCAUGCCUAGACUAAACACAUAGCAAUAUAGCAUGGAUGUGAUUAAACUGUAACUGACAUAACUACCACUAUAUAUGAUCACCACUUUGCAUGCUUUUAAGAAUUAAUUUUGUUUCACUUUAACCAAACAUGUUUUAUUUUAGAAUUGGCAUUUGAAAAUUAACAAAAACUGAAAAAUUGCAACCACCCCAAACAGGACCUUAGGUAAUAAAUUCACAAAAUUUUGCACACCUUGAUCUGCUACAAGCCAGCGACACGAGUUAUCAGCAAAAAGAGCAAUUUUCUCAUCAGGUUUUACUCCAAUAACUCUCAACCCCUCAGCAAAGUUUAAUAUUGCAUCCUUCAACUGAAAUGUUGUUAAGAAAAAUUGACAUAUGAUAUAACAUACAACCGAAUGAGAUUUCAUAAGAUAAGUUUCACAGAUGAUUCAAAUUGAAACAAAAAUCAUUCAUUAUGUCAUCAAGCCCAUAAAACUUUAAAAUAAUUUGAAAUUGCUUUACCCUAUCAAUAAAUCUUGAGACUAACGUACAAAAUUACAUAGUUUUAACAUACAUUCAAUAAUCAAAGUUUCAAAAGGACCACAUGCAUAUUCUACAAGACAAUGGUUUAAGAGCAUGAAGUCAAAAAAAGAGUCAAUUGAGUCAACAUAGUAAGAUAAUGUUUAUCUGAUAUCUAUGUCCCACCACCAAUAAAACUCAACCAUAUCUCCUAAAAUAAAACAAACGAAACCACACAAAGAUCAUUGAUUAAAGCCGGUGCUUAUUCUUCUAAACUGUUACUCUAUAUUAUAGGACAUGCUUAUUACCUAAGUAAACCUGAAAAAUAGUUAUAUAAAUAUAUAUAUAUAUAUAUAUAUAUAUAUAUAUAUAUAUAUAUAUAUAUAUAUAUAUAUAUAUAUAUAUAUUGCAUUCUACUACAUGUAAAGAAUUCCAUCAUCUACUUUGAACCAAACUCUACUCUAACCAUACCCAAUAACAGUAAAUUUAGUGAUACAACCGUGUUCCAUGCUAUCAACCUAGUAAGAAAAAAAAACCUGUUUGUAUGUCAUAGUUGAAGGAGGAUCAUGAUAUUGAUCUACCAAAGCUACUUUAUCACCAUACUUCUCUGCAGAAGUUCUCCAAAUAUCAGGAACAGCUUUCCACUCAUCUAAAGCCACACCACCAUUACCGGAACUUUCUAAUAAAGGGGAAAACCUUCUUAUCUCCGUUUUCUUUGUCUGCAUAUAUACAAUACUUUGUGAUUGGAAAUUGUAAGAUAAAAUUAACCAAUAUGACAUUAACAACAAAUAUAAUGCCAAUACAUAAUUAUUACAUAUCCUGAAAUACUGCAGGCAUGUUUAUCAUAGAAGCGGUUGUGUACGAGGUGUUAGCUUAAUUAGUGGUAAGAGUUUAACUUUUUAAUUUUAUACAAGACAAUUGUAAAAUGGUCAUUAGCGUUGCGUCUUAUUAAUAAUAGUUUUCCCUUCCACAACUUCUAUAAAGUUACCUUGGAUUGAGUAUGGCAAAAGACGCGAAAAGAAGAGGUUGGAGAAAUGUUGAUGGUGGUGGUGAAGUUGGUGCGAGCAAAGAAGAGAGGAAGUGAAUGGAUGGAAGAAGCAUAGUUGUAGUUAGAGGAGGUGAUAGGAAUUCCCGCCAUUGGAAUUUGGCAGAAGAAGAAGAGAUAAUGGAAUGGAAUGAAUGCAGAGAACGUAAGAGAUAUUAUUGUUAAUAUGAACAAGUAGUAGCGAGAAUGAGAAAAGUAGUUUGGUCCAACUUAUAUUUAUGUCAGUUUUUGGUGCAUGAUGAGGGUCCAAUCUGUGUAACUGUUGAAAUUUGUAAAUCAUUUAUUAUUUAUUAUAGUAUAUACUAUUUAUUCUUGAAUUUUUCAAGAAAACGUUAAAUCGGUUUCCAUUAAUUUUUUGAAAAAGAAAUAUUCAGUGUGGGAAGAAUUGUAAUGUAGAUAUCGCCCUUACAUGGUGGCACGGUCAUUUAUUAUUACAAUUGCCAUCAAAAUAAUCCUAAAUUUUAGAAAGAUAAAUGCUUACAUCACUCUUUUUCAAAUCUCUUUUCAACUCAACUCUACUAUUGAGUGAAAUUAAUCAGAGUUUCACCAUUUUAUGGAAAGUCCAUUUUUAAGAUAUGAUACUCACAUAAAUUUCAUCUAAUAAAAUAGUGGAUGUUAGAGAAUAUUGUUAAAGAAAAAAAAAAAGUGUCAUAGCAUUUUCCUUUUCCAAAAAUAGAUCUUAGGUGUAAUUUUUAUGAGUGUCUCACUAUUAAAAAUGAGAGAGAAACAUAUAAAACAUCGAAAUGAUAUUUUUUUUUCUUUUUAUUUUGAAUGGUUAGAAAUUAUACAUUACUUUAUAAUUUGAAGAUCACACAUGAGAUGAUCUAGUUCCUUAAAUUUUCAUAAAGAAAUUUAGACUUCACCGGUAACAAAAUUAACUACUUCCAAACUUGUUAAGAUAAUUAUUCACAUUUACUCUUAUUAAUCUCAUUUAAAAUUAAAACUUAAACAUCAUUAUCUAAAUUAUCCCUCAUUUUAUUAAAUUCUAUAACAAAAAUCAUUAUCUUUUAAGGACAUUUUUUUAUACUGUAUCACUAAAGAUGAUUAAAAGAGUUUAUUUUUGCUUGCAUUUUAUUACAACCGUGAGAUGUGUCAAAUUUUGCUGAUUUUUUUUUUUAAAAAGAGAGAGUACAUUUCUAACUCAUACGUUGUUGAUUUUUAUUAUGGAGAGUACAACUCGUAUGUUAGAUAUAUUUAAAUCUUAAUUAAGCUUGGUUCAAUAUUGUAUAUAAGGUAGUUUUUUUUUCCUUCGAUAUGAUGCACUAAAACUCAUGCACAAGUUUACAAAGGGAUUUUAACAUUUUUUGUAUAUUGUACAGAGGUAGUUUUUUUUUUACUCUCUUGCACAAGUUCAUUAGUGUACCAUACAUCGAUUUUCAGAUGAUUCCUACACUAUCAUUUUUUUGGACAAUGAAUCAUAAAAUCAAACUUUCUAUAAAAAAAAAAAUUGUCGGGAGAUGAUUCUAAUUCUAUAUAUUUUUCUUUUAUCUUCCUUGUUUCAUGUCUAUGUGAAAACACCUUUACAUAAUUAUCCUUUUUUUUUUUCCUUCAAUUUUGAACCGUCCAUUUCGGUUCCAAUUUGUUUUGUUUGGACUUUGGACAUCGACCUCUGAAUUCUUUCUUGCACGGAUCUCUUCCAUUUAUUUAUGGUUGAGAAAACUUGGGUACAAUUCAUUAUCGUAUGAUUUUCUUCAAAUUCAUAAUUUUCUUAAAUCCAUAAUUUUCUUAAAGUUUGUUAUAUACAAAAAAUAUGUAUUUUUAGUUAAGAACCAUACGAAAAACACCUAAUGAAUUGUACCUAAGUUUUCUCCUCAAGUAAAACGCUUAAUUGAUGUUUUACACCAACCAUAGAAGAUUAAGUGUGUGUUUGGUAUGGCGGUGACGAGAAUUGAUUUUGAUAGAAUUGAAUUUGAGAGAAUUGAUUUUGGUUAAAAGUGGGUUUGAGGUGAAUUGAUUAUGUUUGGAUACACUUGUUUGAAAGUGAUUCUUAUGAGUUGAUUUCGUUUGGAUAGUUUGAAUCAAAAUUAAUUUUGAAUGUAAAAUGACAAAAUUAUCCUUUUAAUUGUAUUUAAAACUAAACAUCCCAUUCUUAUUUUAGAUACUUAUUUGAACUUAUCUAAAAUCAUAAAUGGAUUUUUAUUGGUUCAAAAUUUUAUUUUAAAAUAAAUGGAUAUAUAUAUAUAUAUAUAUAUCAGUUUAUAAAAAUCUUUUUUUUUUAGAAAAUUUAUAAGAUUUUUUAAAAAAUAUAUUUUUUAUCAACUUGGUUAUUUUUAAUACAAUAUAAAAAAAUUUCAAGGGUGUGAAAAUACACAGCAUCAAACGAUAUUAUCAAUCCAAAAUAUUGGAACACAACCCAACCCAAUAGAUAAAAAAAAAACUCCAAUUUAUGUCACUCUAGAAAUCACGUGUUCCUUACGCUUCUAACCUUUCUUCUUCCCCAUCUCACUAUUUUUCUUCCAUCCUACCAUUUCUCCAUCACUCAGUACUGGUCUGAUUGGCCUCAAGCUCACAGAGGGGAAGAUAGAUCUGUAUCGAAGAUGUGUGUUUGUGAAGAAGAAAGUUGUUAAUGUGUAAUUAUGUAAAUUUACAUGUCAUUGAAAAACAAAUUGUUUGAUUCGAUUUUGCUUUGCCGUGAAAGCUUCAAUUUGUAGCUUUGAGAAAACCCACGUUUGGGGCCAAACCCGCGUUUCAGAGAAUUGAUUCUGAAACCCAUCCAAACAUCAAAAGUAUGUUGAAACAGCGUUUCAAAAAGCAAACUGGCUUUUGAGGCUAUUAGACGUGAUACCAAACAAGCACCAAGUGAUUUUCAUUAUUUACAUACUUCCACUCCAUGCUAAUUAAACCAUUUUUCAUUCUCCGUAUGUUUCUACUUUAUGAUAGUUAAACGUUUUUAAUUCUCUUAGGCUUUGUUGAAGACUUGUUUGCCGUUUAUGAGAUUUUGAUAACAAUCUUAAAUUUAUUGCUGCAAUAACAUGUGGUUGGUCUCAAUGGAAAGAGACUCAAACAUCUUAAACCCUUGGAAGGGGCUGCUAAUUGGCAUUGCUAUCAAAAAAUUUAUGGUUGCCAUAAUCAUGAUCUAAAUCAGUUCAUCUAACAAAAUCUAAAUAAAAAAUUGUGAUCCAUAAAGGGCUGCUAAUACUUGCUACCCAGUUGGAAGGGCUGCUAAUAUUCAUUACUCCUUUCUGUAUUAAAAAAAUUGCCAAGAGUUGGAAGGGCUGCUAAUCACAUCAUUUUAGCAAACAGACCAUCGAUGUCAAGAGUUGGUUUAAGUAAUUGAAAACGAUAGAACCCAAAAUCACAUGCUGUAAAUGUUACAUAACCUCUCUCCCUUUUCUCUAUUUAGAAUUACUCAAAUCCCUUUCGCCUAAUGGUUUUCCAUCCCCUCCCCACCAUCAAUUCUAGAAGACAAUUAUUGUGUUUUGUUUUCAUUCCAGUUGCUAGUUUUCAAAUGCAGAAUUUUGACAAACAAAAAAAAGAACACAGAAAUUGCUUUCAAACAAUUAGGAGCGCAAAUGAGCCAAGCAGAGUGAUUGAAGUUUAGAUUUGACUUAAAAAAAAAAUGAAUUACUCAGGUUUGACUCAUUUAUUUGAACAAUUCUAACUAAAAUCUUCAGCUUGACAGACAUACAUUUAACUACGUUGAUGCUAAUUAGUUCAAGCUAACUUGACAUGCCAACUUCAAAAGAAGAAAACAGUCAUUUCCGUCCUGUAAUAACAUAAUGCAUUGGCACAAAAUCUUUUAUUAAUGAAAGCGAACAGUAUUUACAUUCUCUAAGAAAAUAUAAUAACAAAAGGAAUGACAGACAGGAACAAGGAUUAAGGAUUUUGCUACUAUCUACAGCCAAAACUCUAUUGUGCAUGCCAUUAGCAUGAGGAGAGUUUGCUUGUAUAGAUUCUCCAUUUGGUUUCUGUGUUGAGUCUUAACUAUUUGUAGCCAUACCAUUGGCAUUAGGAAAGAUUACUUGUAUAGAUUCUCUAUUUGCUCCUUGUAUUGAGCCAUAAUUCUAUCCCUUCGAAUUUUCAUUGUGGGUGUCAUUAGCCCAUUAUCAAUCUGUCAUUAUAGUAAAACGUUAACCAAAUAUGUCAAUGGAAAUAAUACAAAGAAUCAAAUCUGUUAAGUCUAACCGUGAAGGGAUCAUUUACGAGAAGGAUUGGCCCAAUUUGAAAUGGAAACUCGGACGUCCUGCAUGAUAAUGGGGGAGAGAUUCAAUUUUCAGAUAGAAAAUAUUUGAUAUGUUUCCCAUUCGUGACACCCCUGACCAUGUACUGAAUUUCACUCACAAUAAUUUUUUUUUUUCUUUGGUAGAUAGACGAAAUGGCAAAGCCAUUAUAAACUCACACACACAAGUGGAGGAACCGGGGUUCGAACCCCGGUCAUAGCAUCCGGCCUAACAAUUUCGACAUUUUGCCAGUUGAGCUAGGACUUCUGGAUCACUCACAAUAAUUUAAUUAGAGGUAAAAAAUAAUAUUCUCUUCCAUUCUCAUAAACUUCAACUUAAGCUAAUAUUAACCAUUAUAAUAAAAAACUGCUCUUCCUUGUAAACACAAACAGAAGAGUGACAAGGACUUACCAGGUCCUUAAUUCAUUAUAUAUCAGACUGGUCACAUUUUCCUGACUGAGAUCUGAACUAUUGGAAUCUAUAAUUGACAAUUCCCUUGCUGCCUUUAAGACUUCUUUGUUGGGAACAACUACAGCUCCUAGACGUCGCUUAUCCUAUAUGUCCAAAUAAGUGAAAUUAUUGCAUUUUGCAAUAUUUUUUAUACAGUUUGUAUGUAGGCCUUGAACCAAAAAAAUUUAAAGACGUCAAAAUUUAAAUUAACCUGGCCAAUGACAACAAUUUGUUGUAUGAGACUACUCCUCAUCGCAGCUUCUUCAAGUUCUACCGGUUCAACAUUUUCACCUUCUCUUAUUGAAACACAUAAGGCAAAAUGAUUAUCACCACCCUUUUUGUGCAGAGAUAAAAAAGCAUUGUUGCAAUUAAGGGUCAAAAAAUGGAGUGAUGAUCGUAAAAGAUCCUCGUAGACAGUAGACACAUGACAGCUAAGAAAUCCAUUAGUUACAAGUGACAAGGUUACUUUUACCGGAAGUGUCCAUUUCUUUUUUUGGAUCAAUCCGGAAGUGCCCAUUGUCCCGAUAAGUAAUGUCUCCUCCCUUUCUGUAUGUUUGUGUUAUGUUAUGUGUGCUUUCUAUUAAUAAACAAUAUUAGAAUAAUAUUUGAGACUAAUUUAGUUGAUACUCAUUUACUGUCUUUAAGGUGUAAUUAUUUGGUUUCAAUUGCUUUCAAUUAUAUUUCCCUCUUUAGAUGAUUUCCAGGGAUUUGGUGUAAUUACCCUGAUGUAGGACAAGCUGUACAUUGUGUAUAUAAAUCAGCCUUUGAGCAUCAAUAUGAAUAACACAUUCUGCCUCAUCCUAUUUCUUUAAACAAACAUACCGAAAGGGAGGAAUAUUACUAAUAGGAUUCAAAGAUCAGCAAACACAAACUUCUGUUCUACCUGAUGAAAGCACAAUGGUGUCUUUAGCACGACCUUCAACAACAAUCACACCGCCACAAUUACGACUCCGUCCAGAUGAAUGGUAGGCAGCAAUCCAACCUAUGUCACCAGUAUUCAGCCAGCCAUCCUUGUCUAUGGCCUGAUUUGUGGCUGAAGGAUUCUGAUACAAGAAUAGAGAUAUGUAACUGACACAACUUUUUUUUGGUAAAGUGUAACUGACACAGCUUGAUCCAGCAUAUGUCAAUAAGACCCCAUGACAUGAAUAUGAUCUGAGCUCUUAAGUAAACAACAGUUUUGACCUCUAUAGUCAUUACACAAGUUACGAGUAGGUACAUCAGGGAAAAGGUGUUAAUGACAAACAAAACUCUUCGUCUCAAGAAUACUAAAAGAGCACUGGAUUAUGAGCCUUUUAUAAUCCCUUGUCCCAAUUGUCAAGUUUGGAAGACAAUCAAAUCUUUAUUAAUGAAUAAAACUAUAACACCAGUAUAAAAGAGCUACUUUAGAAAGCCCGAAAUAUAAAAGUAAUAUAUGUGCUAUAGGUGUCCAAUAAGAAUGUUAUAUACUUUUUCAUAUACAUGCACUCUCUUUCUCUCUUUCGUACGCAUGCACACACACAUUUAUAUAUGCAGAGACAAGAGACAACAAGUUUGCAUUUUUGAGAAAAUAGAUUACCUUGUAGUAUCCCUUCAUCAAUUGUGGGCCCCUGACUUUCAAAAUUCCCUUAUAACCAGGUGGAAGAACUUCACCAGUUUCAGAAUCUACAACUUUAAACUCUGUAUGCUUAAGUGG
Molecule: long non-coding RNA, 10959 nt
Filed under: Medicago truncatula (barrel medic)
Lineage: Eukaryota; Viridiplantae; Streptophyta; Magnoliopsida; Fabales; Fabaceae
Description: long non-coding RNA (MTRU_LNC000981)
Rfam family: MIR5272 microRNA precursor family (bases 6617-6689)
Source: RNAcentral